Molecule: ribosomal RNA, 627 nt
Filed under: Bacillus amyloliquefaciens
Lineage: Bacteria; Bacillati; Bacillota; Bacilli; Caryophanales; Bacillaceae
Description: bacterial SSU rRNA
Rfam family: Bacterial small subunit ribosomal RNA
Source: RNAcentral
CCUAAUACAUGCAAGUCGAGCGGUAACAAGGGAGCUUGCUCCCUGAUGGUAGCGGCGGACGGGUGAGUAACACGUGUGUAACCUGCCUGUAAGACUGGGAUAACUCCCGGAAACCGGGGCUAAUACCGGAUGGUUGUCUGAACCGCAUGGUUCAGACAUAUAAGGUGGCUUCGGCUACCACUUGCCCAUGGACCCGCGGCGCAUUAGCGAGUUGGUGAGGCACCGGCUCACCAAGGCCACGAUGCGUAGCCAACCUGAGAGGGUGAUCGGCCACACUGAGACUGACACAAGUCCCACACUCCUACGGGAGGCAGCAAAUUGGAAUCUUCCGCAAUGGACGAAAGUCUGACGGAGCGAGGGCGCGUGAGUGAUUAAGGUUUUCAAAUCCUUUAUCUCUGUUGUAAGGGAAGAACGUGUGCCGUUCAGUUAUGUCGGCACCUUGACAGAAAAUAACCAGAAAGCCACUGUUAACUACGUGCCGGCAACCUCGAUAGUACGUACGUGGUUAGCGUUGUCCGGACUUAUUGCGCACACAGGGGUCGAAUGCGGUUUCAUAUGUCUGAUCUGCACGCCCCCGGCUCAAAGCGUUAGGGACAUUGGAAACAGAGGCAAUGUGAAUAGGGAAAA